UAAUACCACUUUUUGUAGCAUUAUGGAAGCUUUUGGCCUUUUUAACAUUUGAAGACGUCAUUGUGCUUCCACUCAGCUGCAUGUCACAGUACACAUCACACACACACACACACACACACACACACACACACACACAGAGCGGUUUUCACAUCUUCACGUCUUUUCUGUAUCUAUUCACUGGGUGGGUUACAGAUCAUGUGCAGUAUUUUUGCAUUUACUUACAAGAAGCCCUUGCUUAUGCUUCUUUCUUAGCAUUUUCUUGCAUUAGGUGUUAUCAACAGUAACUCGUCCAACAGCUUCACACAUACACUAGCUCACCACAAAACACCACUUCCUCAGUGACAGGAAUCUGUUGGUGUGCAUGCACUUAUUGUCAUAGACAUAUAUAGUAAGGGUAUAGCUUGCAGUUCUUUGAUAGGCUGUUAAUCUCUUUGGCUUGGAUUAAAAUGAUUGGUUGCAGUCAUCAGUGUUUACAAGACAAGGAAGUGUCAAAAGGGAGAAAUAUUUUUGACUUUAGGCUGAGACUUCAGUUGGUACUGAUCCCCCCCAGACUGACACAGCAGUACAGAGGCGAGCUGGUCCGAGCAGACAAAAUGAAGAUCAUUCUCCUGACAUCCAUCAUCUUCACUGUAGCUCCUGUUUAUGGGGUGCAAGGAGUCUUUUCUAAAGGCAACCACAGGACCAGCCACUUGGCAGCCUCUGGCCUUCAGCCCUGUGAGGAAAAGAGCGACAUAGGUAGAUAUGACACAUUUGUCAAGAGACACAUCCUGAAAGGGUCCUUUGACAGAAACUCUCUGGAGGAAUGGCAGAGGUGAAUUAUAAGUUUAACUACACUGGUUUAACUCUGUGGUAUAAUUCAAUAACGGCUUUAUGGACAAAAAUAGCACAACAUCAGAAUUGAAGCCAUGUAACAUUGUGACAGCUAGUUGGACUUGACAAUGUCAAUACUAUGCAGUGAAACAUUGAUCUCCUUACAGAUACUUGAAAGCCAACGGUCUCUGUGGCAGAACUCGAGUGCAGUCCUUCAUUGAGGCUAAUGAACGAGAUGUCCAGCGGAUCUGUAGUCCUGAUGGCCGGCAUGUGCAAGGUAACUUGUGCAUCAGCGGGUCAACAAUGACUAUAUAUGAAGUUUACACAAACAACUUGGGUUGUGAAGUCAAAGAUGUUAAACAUUGCCAAAAGAAGGUGAUCGUAGCAUGUAAUAAAAUUGAAUAUAAAAAUGUCUGCCGUCCAGUCCAUUAUGAGGGAACAGCAUUCCAAGAAACAAACAUACCCUGCACGAAUGCCUUAGAGUAAGAAUGCCCUUGAUUCCAGCUGUCAGGCUUAUUAUUCCCUGACAUCUAAAUUAUCAGGAAAUUAAUAAUUUUUGCUUACAAUUUUUUUUUCUUAAGCGACACAUUCUACUUGUGUAUCUUUGAGGCCUGCUACCACAACAUUUUGUAAGAUGAGCAUUAUGAGCAAAAAUAAACUAAUGUAAAACGGAGACAGCUAAUUACAAUUAAUUUACUCAAAUUCAUUUCUCUCAUUAAAUAUUUUUUUUUACUAUGACUGAGGCAUUUUAAGCAAAAGUUUUACAACCUCGACAAUAAAUGUAUGCUAACCUUAAAUGUAUUUUUUUUUAGCAUUCAGCUGUAUUGUAAUGCUACUUGUUUUGCUUUGUAUACUGUCAAAUAAAGAACUUAAACCUGCAUUAAUUAACUUUAAAAUUAACUAUAAAUAAGAUGACAAAUGUAAAUUUUAAAUGCGGACACUGAUCACCAAACUUUUAUAUCAUUGUUUGAUUUUCCAGCAUAUUUGCUGAUGGUCCAGCAGGUCUGAUAAACCUGAAUACUACCAAACACCAAAUGACAAACAAUGUAUGUCAUGACUUAGUCUACUGUUUGGCUUUUGCUGAGAACAGUGGCCAUGCUAGAAAUGAUCACUCAUACACAUAGUAACAUGAUGCAUUGUUAAAAUAAUAAUAUUGAUUAGUGCAGCUUUAAAUACCACAGGAAAGUCCAAGUUCAGACAUUUGCUCGUUAUUUAAAAAAACUAAAAAUAAAAUAGGACAUUGUUUACACCAGUGGGAUUUUCAUCUAGGUGUUUUCCUAAAUUGUUCAUUUUAAAAUAAAAGUAUGUAGGAUUUACUGGCAUCUACCCCUGAAGUUGCAGAUUGCAACCAACUGAUUACAGCUCAGUCUUCAGAGCCUGUAGGAGAAACUAUGGUGGCCAUAAAAAUUGGUUUGUCCGUUGAGUUACUGUUGAAACGUGGUGGUUCAUAUGGCGGUCUCCGUAAAAGAGCACCCGCUCGCUCUGUAAAUAAAAUGAGAUUGCAGAGAUGCUACAAUUACAAUGGGUCUCCACCACCACAGCAACAGACUAUUCCAGCUCAGGGAAAUCCCUUGUUUUGGUGGGUAAAGACAGCCUAAAAAAUAAGACACAGGAUGAACAUGUCAUACAUACUGUAACUGUGACAAAAGUUCAAUAUUUUGAGCAAGCUGUUAUGCAUAACAGGGACACACAGUUUAUUGUUUGACUAUCUCAUUUGAUUUCACAGCAAUAUGUCCUGUAAAUGUGAACAUAUCGUCAGUAUAAACUGGCAUGUAGAUGAGAAAUACUGCUGCAUCUUCUUUGUGUUUGUAAUUAUUGUGUUGGUUCAGUAAUCCUGAUGUCCUUGAGUUCCCGUGAAUGUAUUUCUUUUACUGUUUGGCAAUAUAUAUCUGAUCAAUAUUUGCUACAGCAUAAGCAUACACAUAAAUGUCACACCUUUUAUGUGUCCUUCAAGGUUCGUUGGAAAUCUGUAAUGUACUGAUCAGAAUCAUUGGUGGAAACUUAUUUACAAUUUAUUAACAUUGAUACAAAUCUCACUUUCACCUACUGAUAAUUGUUUGUUCCAUUUCGAUGCUAUUAUAAUCUAUUUUUCCAGCUAGAGUUUUGGAACUCUCUAUACUGUAAAAGAUGCAAAUAAAAGGCUUGAGAAAUUCAAUUGGUUUUAUCAAAAAAAGGCAAACCACACAUCUUGUACACCACUUUUUCAUUCUCACAUUUUAGGUUUUAAUAGAAAAAACACAAAAAAAGUAAAAAAAUAUAUAUUAUUAAUAAAUUAUUUUAUGAUUUGACAAAAGAGGUUGAUUGUAUUGUUUUUGAGGAGAAGUAUAAGCUCUUAAAUGACAUAAUAUUUAUAAUUCUGAUCAGCUACAUACAUAGCUACAUACCUAAAACAGUUGUAAUAAUUGGAAUCAAUUAAAGGGGAAAAUUUAGCAUUUGAAUACUAAUAAUUUCAGAUCUGUUAAAAUAAAUCACAUUAUGACUGUAAUGACAAAUAAAUCAUAUCUUUAUUUAUUGUUGACUGAAAACCACUGAAGGUAAUCAGGCAAUAUCAUGCAUUGAUGUGUCCUUUUUGGUCUAUUCUAUUAAUAAAUCUAUAUCAUUCCCUGAAGUAUUUUAGAACAGGGUGACACAGUAUUUCAUCAGGAAAAAACCCAGCAAGUAGGAGAUGUCGGUAAAAGAAAAGCAGAAAAAAAGAAAAGAACUCUCUGGUUCUAACUCUCUUUUUGCUGGUCCUGCUCAUCUGCUUUAGCAUAAACCUGACAGAGAAGAAGAUUUAUGGCUAAUAAAUUUUUUUUAAAAAUCAUUACUGUAAAUGUUUAAUACAAAUUAAAACAUUUACAGUA
This is a long non-coding RNA of Dicentrarchus labrax (European seabass), 3653 nucleotides long. Lineage: Eukaryota; Metazoa; Chordata; Actinopteri; Moronidae. The record is from Ensembl.